CCGACGGUGAGGGAUGAAAGCUGGGGAGCAAACCGGAUUAGAUACCCGGGUAGUCCCAGCUGUAAACGAUGCGCGUUAGGUGUGUCAGUGACCACGUGUCACUGAUGUGCCGAAGGGAAACCGUGAAACGCGCCGCCUGGGGAGUACGGUCGCAAGGCUGAAACUUAAAGGAAUUGGCGGGGAGCACCUCAACGGGUGGAGCCUGCGGUUUAAUCGGACUCAACGCCGGAAAUCUCACCGGAUAAGA
Molecule: ribosomal RNA, 247 nt
Filed under: uncultured archaeon
Lineage: Archaea
Description: partial 16S ribosomal RNA
Rfam family: Archaeal small subunit ribosomal RNA
Source: RNAcentral